This 802-nucleotide ribosomal RNA is filed under the name Rondonanthus capillaceus. Its description in RNAcentral is "eukaryotic LSU rRNA". The stretch from base 377 to 533 matches the Rfam family "5.8S ribosomal RNA". The record is from RNAcentral. Lineage: Eukaryota; Viridiplantae; Streptophyta; Magnoliopsida; Poales; Eriocaulaceae.
UCACGAGAAGUACACUGAACCUUAUCAUUUAGAGGAAGGAGAAGUCGUAACAAGGUUUCCGUAGGUGAACCUGCGGAAGGAUCAUUGAUGUGUACCACCCCCUAAGAAAUCCCUCCCCCCCCCCCCCGGUGAAUGUGUGAGGAAAUUCUCGGCAAUCGAGGUGCUCGUUCAGGCGGCACACCGUCGGACGCGCCUGAAUGCUGGAACCCCCGAUGGCGCUGCUGGCAGGCAGCGAAAGGGUCAGCGGUGGGAUACAUUCCUGCCCCGGGCGCGGUGGAUGCGCCAAGGAUCGAAUGCGGGGUCAUCGAGGUUGCAUCGCCCCAGUCCAGGCGCGCAGCACCUCGGUGCCUUGCUGUGCAUAUGGGAAGGACAGUACCACUCUCGGCAACGGAUAUCUCGGCUCUCGCAACGAUGAAGGACGUAGCAAAAUGCGAUAUUUGGUGUGAAUUGCAGAAUCUCGUGAGCCAUCAACUAUUUGAAUGCAAGUUGAGCUCGAAGCCUCUGUGGCUGAGGGCACGCCUGCCUGGGCGUCGUUCCAAGUUGCGCUCCCUCUCGGACAUUCUGGGGGAUGCGGAUUCUGGCCGCCUGUGCCCCGCAUGGGAUGGGGGCGGCCUAAGUGCGGGUGUCGAUCGAGCACGGUGGGCCGCGGUGUAACGGUGGUGCGGCAGCGUACCCCAUCGCGUGCCCGUGCGGUGCUGGGUUGCCUCCGGGGGACCCUUCCGGCUGCGCGUGGUCCGCGCACGCUCGGUUGGUGACCUCAGGUCAGGUGGGAGCACCCGCUGAGUUUAAGCAUAUAAAUAAG